CAGCAGCCGCGGUAAUACGAAGGGUGCAAGCGUUACUCGGAAUUACUGGGCGUAAAGCGCACGUAGGCGGCUUGGUAAGUUAGAGGUGAAAGCCUGGAGCUCAACUCCAGAAUUGCCUUUAAGACUGCCGAGCUAGCAGGUGAGAGAGGUAAGUGGAAUUCCGAGUGUAGAGGUGAAAUUCGUAGAUAUUCGGAAGAACACCGGUGGCGAAGGCGACUGACUGGACAAGUAUUGACGCUGAGGUGCGAAAGCGUGGGGAGCAAACAGGAUUAGAUACCCCUGUAGUCCCUGUCUCUUAUAC
This 301-nucleotide ribosomal RNA is filed under the name uncultured bacterium. Its description in RNAcentral is "partial 16S ribosomal RNA". It matches the Rfam family "Bacterial small subunit ribosomal RNA", at positions 509 to 807 of the family's 1533-position model. The record is from RNAcentral.